RNAcentral lists this transfer RNA (67 nucleotides) under Tetraponera aethiops. RNAcentral describes it as "tRNA-Leu". Lineage: Eukaryota; Metazoa; Arthropoda; Insecta; Hymenoptera; Formicidae. The record is from RNAcentral.
AUUAUUUUGGCAGAUAAGUGCAUUAAAUUUAGAAUUUAAUAAAGAUAUAUUAAUUAUAUAAAUAAUA